RNAcentral lists this ribosomal RNA (253 nucleotides) under uncultured bacterium. RNAcentral describes it as "partial 16S ribosomal RNA". It matches the Rfam family "Bacterial small subunit ribosomal RNA", at positions 524 to 776 of the family's 1533-position model. The record is from RNAcentral.
UACGGAGGGUGCAAGCGUUAUCCGGAUUUACUGGGUUUAAAGGGUGCGUAGGCGGCUCUUUAAGUCAGUGGUGAAAGCCUGGCGCUCAACGCCAGAAAUGCCAUUGAUACUGUAGAGCUUGAGUCAAGAAGAGGUAAGCAGAAUUCAUGGUGUAGCGGUGAAAUGCAUAGAUAUCAUGAGGAAUUCCAACAGCGAAGGCAGCUUACUGGUCUUUGACUGACGCUGAGGCACGAAAGCGUGGGGAGCAAACAGG